CGCCUGGAAUGUGAUUUUUUUUUUUUUCCCGUCAGGGAAACGCGUUUUCCCUUCUCGAAACGCGAUUGGGAUAGUUUUGAGUAGCAAUUGGCGGUUUUGAAAAAACCUGGCAACACUGGAAAGCACUCGGAACUCCGCCAAUGUUUCACUUCCUCUGCCGAGGAAACUCCGAAGCCUGUGUAUCAUCCAACGCUACUAACGACCAAAAACAUUCACGACACCAGAGCAAAGCCAACUAUCUAAUGUGCAUCUUGAGAGGAAUGUCAAACUCGCAAUAGCUUGCAGGAGACGAACUUAACUGCAAGUAACCCAGUGAAAAUCAGGCAAUAGCCUAAACGACAGUUUGCGCAAAAAUGACAGCGGCGGUAUCUGCAAACACAAAAUAGGAUGACAUGGAGCGGUCUGCAAAGAAGCAGAUGAGCUGAAUCAGGGCAUCUGUGGCUGCGUAUCAAGUCACAAAGAGGAGGAAGACAACAAGGGGGCAAAGAAGAUUUUCUUGUGUGGAAGAAGUAGGUUGUAUUAAACUUGCAUAGAAGUGGAGCUGUGCAAAAGUGAAGGACAGUCUUAUAAAUUAUGCAACAGGCAAACAAACAAAAAUGAGAG
Molecule: long non-coding RNA, 603 nt
Organism: Cyprinus carpio carpio
Lineage: Eukaryota; Metazoa; Chordata; Actinopteri; Cypriniformes; Cyprinidae
Source: Ensembl